This 514-nucleotide ribosomal RNA is filed under the name uncultured bacterium. RNAcentral's name for it is "partial 16S ribosomal RNA". It matches the Rfam family "Bacterial small subunit ribosomal RNA", at positions 355 to 878 of the family's 1533-position model. The record is from RNAcentral.
UGGGGAAUAUUGCACAAUGGGCGAAAGCCUGAUGCAGCAACGCCGCGUGCGGGAUGACGGCCUUCGGGUUGUAAACCGCUUUCAGCAGGGACGAAGGUUUUCUGACGGUACCUGCAGAAGAAGCACCGGCUAACUACGUGCCAGCAGCCGCGGUGAUACGUAGGGUGCGAGCGUUGUCCGGAAUUAUUGGGCGUAAAGAGCUUGUAGGCGGUCCGUUGCGUCGGAAGUGAAAACUCAGGGCUUAACCCUGAGCCUGCUUUCGAUACGGGCGGACUUGAGGGAUGUAGGGGAGAACGGAAUUCCUGGUGGAGCGGUGGAAUGCGCAGAUAUCAGGAGGAACACCAGUGGCGAAGGCGGUUCUCUGGACAUUUCCUGACGCUGAGAAGCGAAAGCGUGGGGAGCAAACAGGCUUAGAUACCCUGGUAGUCCACGCCGUAAACGGUGGGCACUAGGUGUGGGACCCAUUUCCACGGGUUCCGUGCCGUAGCUAACGCAUUAAGUGCCCCGCCUGGGG